This 433-nucleotide ribosomal RNA is filed under the name uncultured bacterium. RNAcentral's name for it is "partial 16S ribosomal RNA". It matches the Rfam family "Bacterial small subunit ribosomal RNA", at positions 29 to 507 of the family's 1533-position model. The record is from RNAcentral.
AACGAACGCUGGCGGCAUGCCUAACACAUGCAAGUCGAACGAGACCUUCGGGUCUAGUGGCGCACGGGUGCGUAACGCGUGGGAACCUGCCCUUAGGUUCGGAAUAACUCCCCGAAAGGGGUGCUAAUACCAGAUAAUGUCUUCGGACCAAUGAUUUAUCGCCUUUGGAUGGGCCCGCGUUGGAUUAGCUAGUUGGUAGGGUAAAAGCCUACCAAGGCGAUGAUCCAUAGCUGGUCUGAGAGGAUGAUCAGCCACACUGGGACUGAGACACGGCCCAGACUCUUACGGGAGGCAGCAGUGGGGAAUAUUGGACAAUGGGCGAAAGCCUGAUCCAGCAAUGCCGCGUGAGUGAUGAAGGCCUUAGGGUUGUAAAGCUCUUUUAACCGGGAUGAUAAUGACAGUACCGGGAGAAUAAGCGCCGGCUAACUCCGUG